GGGGUUGGUCAGAGGGGCUGUCGACGUUCUGGGGCCGCGCCGCCGCCUCAGGACCAACAUGCGCCUGCGUGGUAGUUCUCGGGUCAGGACGCGUCUGGGGAUCAGCUCUGGAGGGCGAAGGGACUCUGAAGAGAAUGCGGAGAAGUUUAACGAUGAUUUGGGUUAAAUCGUGUCCGGCCUCUCACGCUCUCCAAUCCAGGCCGCAUCACAGCGAACCUGUUUUGAGCGGUAGGCCGCGGGCAGACUCGAUCGAGGUUCCAAAGAGAGUCACUUUAUCGCGAGGAAAUCCGUCUGCCACUCUGGUGGCCUGUUUGACACCUCCUCACUACUGUUCUUCCCCCCCUCCCCCUCCAGAGCACGACGUGAAGCCCCCCACAGUCGUCGUCCUCCAGCCGGCGAGCAAGGAGAUCGCGGAUCACCAGACAGCUACGCUGGUGUGCGUCAUCUCCGACUUCUACCCCGACAACAUCAAGAUACGGUGGUGGCUGAACGGUCAGGAGAUCCCGGCCAAAGACGCCAGGAUCUAUACCGACCCCGAGGCGCUCCGCACCAAUGGCAACAAGACGUUCAGCGUCAGCAGCCGCCUACGCCUGGACGCCCGGGACUGGGUGAAAUCCAGGUCGGCCAUGUGCCAAGUGGAUCACUACCAGAAGGGGGAUAAGCCGACGCCUUACAACCACACGAUUCAAGUCAAAGAGGUUCUGUGUGGAAUCAGUAAAGAUACUCAAUCCACCCCGUCUGGCACCGGCCCUCAAUCCUCCCCGCUCUGAUGUUACCUGACCUCCUGACCGCGCCUGCGUGUUUGUGACGCACAGUGAGUUGCUGCCACGUGAUUGGCUGAUCGGACAGUUGCCUGAAUGUGCCGGUGCGCAGGUGCUGCUCAUGAAGUGUCCACUGAGUGUAUUUGAAGGGGCCGCCGCUGCUUCCGUGGGGCGGGGAAUACCCCAGAUUGACUCUUUCCUCCCUUUCCCUCUCCGUGCAGAGGAGAGAUACAGAGCAUUGGGAGCGGGCGGAUGACGUACCUCAUCCUGAUCUGCAAAAGUGUCCUGUACGGCAUCAUCGCUUCGGCGAUCGUUUUGAAGACCAAGAAGUCAUACUCCAAGAGGUUCGACUGAAACCACGCUUGGCAUCGGAGCGAGUGAGAGAGAGAAAGAGAGAGAGAGAGAGAGAGAGAGAGAGAGAGAGAAAGCUUCGUCGAAACAGAGAUUAACCUUGAUGCUUCGUUGUGUCAUUUUCCACGCCAGCCUCUACUGUAAACGUCUGUCUUAUAUUUGUAAGCUCAAAACGUCCCGGCCCCCACCGGAGGGCCGAGUGACUGUAUAGUCCCGCAUCGCUGAAUCAGGCCAUUUGGCCCGACAGAUCCCUGCCGCCCACGGUCGUCCCAUUGGGAAACAUUGUCUUCAUCUCGGCUGGCCCCCACAGGGAGAGGUUGAACAGGUCGGGACCACUGAGGGAGGUGGGGGGAGAGACAUCUCACAGGGGGUACCCAAAGUUACGAGUGUGAAUAGACGGGGGGUGGACGGGUCGCGUACGGGAUGCGGGAGGAAGUCCAGCCGGUCGGGCAGCGUCCGCAGAGGGGAAUUAACAGGCAGGCUCUUGGGACGGGGACCUUCGUGCUGUCAGGACUGGGGAGGGAAGGGGCAGAGGCCAACCAGGUGAGGGGGGAAGGUAGGUGGGUGGGGGGGGGGUGACUGCGGACGAUGGAAGAAGCCGGGAGGAGAUAGGUGGAAGAGGUAAAUGGUUGAAGAGGAAGGAAGACGGUCGGAGGGGUGGUGUGAAGACAGUAGACCGUGACAAAGGGGGAGGGGCACCAGAGAGAGGUAACAGGCAACUCAGCUGGGCUGAGCUGAGAACUCGGGGUUCAUGGGUUAAGGGUGAAAGGUGAACCUCUUUGCCCGGAGAGUUGCCCCAGCGCGGAGCGAGCUGCCAGCGGAAGUGGCGGGUCUGGGUUCGAAUUCAACCCUUAUGGGGAGCUUGGGCGGAGAGAUAGAUGGGAGGGGUGUAGGGUGGGGGUGGGGGAAUGGGCGUAGAUGGGGCUAGCCUGCCUGGUCGGCGUGGACCGUGCUGCAGUACCGUCCGAAUUUAUUUGCCCCCGUUUGGCCCGCACCUAUCGAAAUGUCUUCUCGGUGUUGCCGUUGGCCCUGCCCCUGCCACCUCUUCGCCCCAUAUCCCAGCCGCCGUCUCUGCGGGGAGACAAAACUGCCCCUGUGAAUAUUUACCCUCUCGCUUAACGCGAGCUUUAGACCCCUCCAGGUUCCGGGGGCUGGAGGGGGUGGUAGGGAAGACAGCGACAUGAUCGAAAUCACGUGCAGUUUCUCACUUCCCACGAUCUUGCGGUGCUUCUUUUCCGGUUCUCAUCUGCUCGAUAAAUAAAACGGAAUUUUCUUACG
This is a non-coding RNA of Hypanus sabinus (Atlantic stingray), 2390 nucleotides long. NCBI's taxonomy places the organism in Eukaryota, Metazoa, Chordata, Chondrichthyes, Myliobatiformes, Dasyatidae. The record is from the annotation of a RefSeq genome assembly.